Molecule: RNA transcript, 3691 nt
Organism: Cydia splendana
Lineage: Eukaryota; Metazoa; Arthropoda; Insecta; Lepidoptera; Tortricidae
Gene: Dopr2
Gene name: dopamine receptor 2
Exons: 4
Source: RefSeq, a predicted model, not a curated record
CCGAUGUAGAUACUUUACCAAAAUUCAUUUGUUUCCUUAAUAACCAUAUAUUUUCUUUCUGUUGCAGUGUGGCCAGACGUAGCUGUAGCUGCAGGGGCAAAAAAUAUGCCAACGAAAUAUGUGCCAGAAUUCCGAAUACGCAAAUACAAUGCCUGCCAAGAAUGUAAUCUCGAAAUGGCUGCGAGCGAAACAAGGAAAACAUAAACACCUACCAUGGUCCUAGCUAGGAAAUAAUUAAUGAAAAAAUAUGAAUGCCAGCGAUCCGGAUAUACUAGUGGCAAGAGGCCAACUGGAGAUACUAAAAGGACCAGAGUAUGAUUUCGGGACAACUACUUACAACGCAGUCCUCGACUUUAAUACCACCUUCGAAAACGCCACUGGCUUGAACUCUACGAGCGGAGAUACAUGGGACGACUAUAUUAAGCUGCUCCAAGAUCGAGCGCUACUCGUUAGCUUCUUGAUCCUGUUCUCCAUGACGACGGUGUUCGGCAACAUGCUAGUUAUUCUAGCUGUCGUGAGGGAACGGUACCUACACACCUCCACCAACUACUUCGUGACGUCCCUUGCAGUCGCGGAUUGUCUCGUCGGUUUAGUAGUAAUGCCAUUUUCGGCAAUGUACGAAGUGUUAGAGCAUACCUGGUUUUUUGGAGUGGAUUGGUGUGACGUUUGGCGGUCACUAGACGUAUUAUUUAGCACUGCUUCCAUACUUAAUUUGUGCGUGAUCUCUCUUGACCGCUACUGGGCUAUUACUGACCCCAUAACAUAUCCAAUGAAAAUGAGCGGACGGAAAGCCGCUUUCCUGAUUGCGGCCGUAUGGGUAUGUUCCGGGGCUAUAUCGUUUCCCGCUAUUGCGUGGUGGCGAGCCGUGCGAUUGGAGGAAGUGCCGGAUUAUAAGUGUCCGUUUACGGAAAACUUAGGAUACAUUAUAUUCUCAUCGACAAUAUCGUUUUAUUUGCCUCUGUUUGUGAUGGUGUUCACUUAUUAUCGCAUUUAUCGUGCGGCGACUAUUCAGACGAGAUCGUUGAAAAUCGGCACUAAGUCGAUAAUGCGCCCGAGUGGCGAGUUAGAGUUGACAUUAAGAAUCCACCGUGGUGGCACGGUGCGUCAGCGCAGCGACGCCUGCCACGGCGUAUGCACGCCAGAGGAAGCGGACCAGGAGCCGCUCACGGCGCUGCAAAACAACGGCCUGUCUCGUUCUUCCACGCGCCUCACGAACGUCGCCACUCAUGGCAAACAUUUGCCAAAAAACUUUUCGUUGUCGCGUAAACUGGCCAAAUUCGCGAAAGAGAAGAAAGCAGCAAAAACUUUGGGAAUAGUGAUGGGAGUAUUUAUAGUGUGCUGGCUGCCAUUUUUCGUGGUGAACCUGCUAUCGGGGAUUUGCUCGGCGUGCAUCGCGCACGAAGAGGUGGUCAACAUGAUUGUCACGUGGCUAGGCUGGGUCAACUCUUCAAUGAACCCGGUCAUCUACGCCUGUUGGAGCAGAGAUUUUCGUAGAGCUUUCCUAAGGAUCUUAUGCGUGUGUUGCCCGCGCAAGCUACGACGGAAGUACCAGCCCCAACUGCGCUCCAAACAGUCACAGUUCCGCUCGACUCGUCGCUAUUACUCAUCGAGCGAACUAACCGGGAUUCAGCAAAUUAGACAAAACUCCUGCGAACAAACUUACAUAUAGCGACUCGGCUUCACUCUAUACAAUCUACAUUUCUCCUUCAGAUUUCCAAGUGCCUUGUUGAGAUUUUUUCUAUUCUUUGUCUAACUUUGCUUAAAUUAGAUGUCUAUAAAAUAAUCAUUGAAGACAAACAAAUAAACUUUACUCAGUAAAUGAGUUUUCUGAGAAAAAACUUCAUCGUAACAGAUGUUGUAGAGUAUCCAGUGUCAACAAUGAUGUACUCGUCGGUGUCGCAGCACGAGAUGUGUCGCUUGUGACGGCAGGCGCGCGCGGGCACGUGCCGGCCGCCGCGCGCGCGCUGCUCCUGAUGCCGGGACCCGUUGGAGGCGCGCCCGCGCUCCAACAGACGCCACUCGAGGCACUACCCCGACUCAUUUCGCAUGAGGACUUUGGAACAUUCCUUCGAUAAUCCCAUACCGUGCGUGGAUCGCCAAGUGUGCCCGGACACUGUGCCCUACUGUCCGGAUUCUGAGUCCAGUGAAGUGAGCCUGGAGAGUGACAGUCGCCAUCAGUCGUUUAAACGAAACGUGGCUAAGAAAGUCACCUACCAAACCAAAGCAGAAGUAAUCUCAAGUUAAAAAUAUAGUAUCGUGAUUUGAUUGAAUGUGAAUCCUCUAAAUGUGCUUACGCUUUAUUUAAAAGGUGAUGGAUUGUAUAUUUAUUGUAAAUAUGUCGAUCAUAAAAUACAGCAAGACCAGAUUUUAUCAAUUAGUUACCAUCUGCCACUUUUUAAAUGACGCUAUAGUUUCAAAGAUAACUUAGUUGUCUAGUAAUAGAUGAGAAUAAUAAUUCUAUGGUUGUAUAACUUUCUAGUCAUUCUAAGAUCGAAUCUUUUGUUCUUGUCGUAAACCUCAACUUUACCUUUACAAUUUUAUUAAAUCCGACGACGUUUGAAACAGAUCAAUAAGAAAUCUAUAUUGUUUCCGUUAAACUCAACCAAACCUAAAUUCGUAUGGUAUUGUAGUGGUUCACAAUAAGAACAGACCAACCGAUGUUCAUUCGGUAAUAUGAAAUUUCAAUCAGGAGCUGUGAUUUACUGAUUAGCUAUGUAUAUAACACUUCGUGUACAUAUUGUACUUAAUAUGUUACUGUAUACGUACCUGGACGACUUUUUGUAAUAUUAACCGUAACCAUCGAGUUACCCAUCAGUUGAAACCGAAAUCAAAGAUUCAACCAGCCGGUAUAGUACAGUAGGUACUAUCUUGUAUAAUGAAAAUCGGGAAGUAAUACGCUUUCAUAUACCUGUACCUACCUAAUGUAAAUAAUCAUAAAUAAAUACAUUCCAAAUACUCUUAUUAGCAAUACGUCAAUUAUUGGAUGUUUGUUUACUUAAUAAUUGUUGUUAACCUCGAAGGUUAUGCAUAUUUAUAUAACGCAUAUAUUGUAAAUAAACAUAAUGGAGGUCUAAUUAAUAUGUUUUAAUAAAUAUGAAAUGUAAUUUAUGGUUAUUUAUGGGUCAUAUAUGAAGAGACGCAAUUCCUUACUUAGUAAUAAAAAUGAUGUAUGUUAAUUUGUUUGUAAUAAGUAUAAAUCGAAAGUCAUAUAUGUCAUAUAAUUUACCCAAAUAGUAGCAUUAAUGACCUAAAUUUCAAGUUCGUAAUAUUCUUUUGCUCAAAUUAUUUCACAUUCGAAACACACUUAAAUAAAGCAAGGAUUUCUUUAAGCAGUCUGCACCAGGUCUGCGCGCACUCAGAACUGGUUUGUUUCUCAUUGGCAUUUGAUCGCGAGCGAGCCUUCGCUUGCAGCAAUGUGUAAUUAUUGAAAGUGUGCCUAUAAUAUAACUACUACAGCCGGCGUAUUAUGGAUGGCUUUAUCCAUUUUUAUCCACGUGAUAAAAUAACUGUCACUUUUUAACACCGUGGGAUAGAAAGUGACGGACACCGUUUUAUCACGCUGUCACAUAGACAAGAACGACCAUCAUAUCCGCACAGAUCUCGAUGUCACAAUUAGCUACAUGCAUGAUUGUUUUUUUUUUUAAUUUUUUCAAUUGAAUUUAUUUAUUUUGCUAGAACAUGUACACAGUUG